Acinonyx jubatus (cheetah) is the source of this 13880-nucleotide long non-coding RNA. RefSeq lists it as uncharacterized. NCBI's taxonomy places the organism in Eukaryota, Metazoa, Chordata, Mammalia, Carnivora, Felidae. The transcript has 2 exons. The record is from RefSeq and is a predicted model, not a curated record.
UUUAUUUAAAUUCUAAUUAGUUAACAUACACUGCAAAACUGGUUUCAGGCACAGAAUUCAGUGAUUUAUCACUUACUUAUAACACCCAGUGUUAUAAGUGCCUUCCUUUAAGACCCAUCACCCGUCUAACCCGUGUCCCACCCACCGCCCUCCAUCAGCCCUCAGUUUGUUUUCUAUCACUAAGAGUCUCUUGUGGUUUGUUUCCCUCUCUUCUCUUGCCCCUUCCCACCCAUACGUUCAUCUGUUUGGUUUCUUAAAUUCCACAUGAGUGAAAUCACAUGGUAUUUGUCUUUCUCUGACUGACUUAUUUAACAGAAUGCACCCUAGCUCCAUCAUGGCAUAGCAAAUGGCAAAAUUUCAUUCUUUCUGAUGGCUGAGUAAUAUUUCAUUGUGGGAAGCAGAGUGAGGAUCUCACCCUGGCUCUGGCUGCACAGAAAAAGAAACCCCAACUCUUCAGUCUGGUUAACACAUAUUGUCAGGAGCCUGGCAGAUCAUCACCAUGGUGGUUCUGACCUUUAUCACAUCCUGGAGUCACCCAGACAACAUUGUGACUCUUAUUGCAGAUGACAAAACUGAGGCUCAGAGAUAUCAAGUCAUUAGAACCUGGAGUUUCUUCCCUCUUCUCCGAGGUCUUUUCCAGCGUAACCCACAGUCUGUCUUGGUGGGGGGUCUCCCUGGAAGCAGACCCUGAACAAAAGACUUAAGUGUAGGUCAUCUGUUUGGGAGGUGACUCAGGGAAGAAAAGAAGCCCUGGCGGUAAUGUGCCCUUCUGGGGAUUCUGGAAAGCAGUGGAGAGCCUGCUGGGAGCAUUUUUGCAUCCCUAGGAGGAGGGAGCAGGGGUACAUAUACCCUGGCUCCCAUUACUUGUGGUUGAGGGAUGCUGGGAAGGGGGUGUCUUUAUUCCUGGCACAUCACUCUGUCCAUCACACAUUUGGACAGAGAGAUGCUGGUGCUGGUAGGUACAGGUGGAGCUGACAGGGACUGAAAUGGUAGAGACUGAGGAGGUAUGGGGAGGGUACCCACAGUGCACAGUGUCUGCAAGGCUGCCUUUCAAUCACCAGACCACGUGGAAUAGGCUUUGAGAGCUUUGAGAGACAAAGGGCAUUAUAGGCUGGACUCUGAGCCAGAUCUUGGAGUAGGCUCACUCUGCCCUGGCCACCAGCAGAAGCAGGGAGGGACAGGAUUCUCCAGUUAGUUCCUUAAAAGGGGCGAAUGCCACUCAGUGCCUUCCGUGAGGAAUAAUCCCAGCUGUCCCCAAAAUGUGGGGUGGGAACCCUGACAACAUCCCCCCACACCUCCUCACAUGGGAGAGCCUUUGGGUAGCAUGCUUUUUAGUGAUGUAGUGAUACCCUGUUCAGUGUCAUGUCGCAGUCUCACCCAGCCAUGGCGGCCCCCUUGAUGAGAGUGAGGGAGGCUCUGGGAGGCCAAAGAGCACAUUGAAAACAAAGCCAAACAGCAACAAGAGCAAAGGAUCCUGUGGGAAGAAAGGCCAUGAACUUGGCCUCAUUAGCACUGUCUGGCAGCAGACCCAAUUCUCUCCCUUGUAUGCUUAUUAUGAAAAUGGCGAAACAAAAAAAGAAACAGAUCAACCAACGGACAGACAGCUCUGCCUGGGAGGAGCUUCCUGUCUGUUAACUAGCGGUGGAGUCCUACCACGGUGAGAAAAUUGGGGUCCCCUCGUCUGACCCCCAGUGGUCCCGUUACUGAGACCAGGAAAGAAGAGUCUCCAUGGUGAAAUAGGAAAACAUUAGUGAAUGUAAGCCUUUUUCACUUCACGUGCUCAGCACCAUCGAGCAAAGGACAUGGGGAACCACCAGUGAAUUUCCGCUGUUCUCUGUGGUGGCCACAGAUUUAAUCAGGUGGCAUCAGGAGGCAAAUAUUUGGACCUGUCUAUGGAAAGUUCUUCUGCUCCCCAUUUCCUGUGGUGGCCUGGGGCUGGUUGGGACCACAAGGGAAAUGAAUUACAUAGAGAGGGAACAUGCCUGACUUAGUUACCAAAAAGGAAAGAAAUAAAUCCUUUAGCUUUGUGAUUUUUUUUUUUUUUUGUCCCUUUUCACUGAAGGGAGAUCCUGGCAGUUAGCUCUGGUCAGGGGCCUAUGGGUUGGCUCCCUGCCUUUGCCCCACUUUGUCUUUUCAAACGGAUGCUUUUUGGUCUGGUUUUUGUUUGCUGCUGGUGUUUAGUUCCUGAGAGAGGAUCUGACUUAUACAAGCUAAUUUCUCCCUUAGCAUACCCCAAAGGAAAUCAAGUCAGAAGCAGAGACCUCUUAGGGGAAUCCCUGAUCUGUCCUGGCCAGCAUCAGCCACAUUGUUACCUCCUCUGCAAAGGCAGGGCCCUGGGAUGGACAGAGCUGUUCUUGAACCUCGCUGGGAAAUUGGAUGGGGGACUGGUAGUCUGGGAAGAGCAGUGCACCAUAUUGGUUUAUGGCAUCAAAAGUUCAGAACAUCAUAGAGGAAUAGAGGUAAAAAACAACAACAAUAAAAAACAACAACAACAACAACAAAAAACCCACAUACACAAAACAAAACAAAAAAAGAAGGAGAAAAAGAAAAAGAAGACUUUUUCUCAGAGAAGAGGAUAGGCCUCUGUGAGAAAAGCUCUAGUAGAGACUCAUGGUCAUGAACUUCAUCUUCAGCUUACCACAUGGCUUUGGAAAAUCACUGUAAAUUUCUGGACCUUGUUCCCUUAUUGAAAUAAUAAGAGUAUGGGUCCAUGUGACCUCUAUCCUCCAAAAGGAAAACCAGGGAGAACAGGGGCAAAAGCCAAGGGCCCAGGCAGAGGCUAUGGGCUAGACCUCUGCCAGCCUUGCAUGGGUCACUUAACUGCUCAGAACCCCAGUGGAUCUCUCUCUUGCAUCUUCCCUGAGUGCUGGAGACAUCUUGGGGGACCCUUUGAAGUUCACCACUGAUGCCAUAAAAACUUCUCCUACCCCUGUCUCCAAGGUUAUCUGCCUAUCUUUCAUUGAGUAUAUGAAGCCAAUAAACUCAGACUGCCUCCUGAGGCAUCAGAUUUACUGCAAGUUUUGAGCAAGAAGAACCAUUUCUUAGGCCAAAACAGACAAUGGUAUAUUACUCUGUUCAUGUAAAAUGUGCUUGAAUUUUAAAGAUAGGUACUUGGACAAUAAGAACUCGGAAUGGAUUCCAUGCCUGCCUUAAACCACUUUCUACAAGAGCCCAGUCACCCACAUACCUGUUCUUCGUUCCUCUGUACAGGGAUACUUGGUGGGACAUUAGAGAAGCCAUCCCGUUUAUCAGUGUAUUGAGAUCAGAACAGUCCUUAUGUACCUGAGUACUUAAUAGUGUAGAGCGUGAUCCAGCUCCAUGGCUUUCCAGGUGUCAGCACCCCUAGGAUAGUGGUUCUUAAUUCUUGAGGAACACUGCCUACUUGGAGGAUCUGGUUACAGCAGCUUGAAAUUCUGAUUUAGAUUUUCCAUGGAAUUUGAGGGCCAUUUCAAGCCCACUCAGUAGACCACUACUGCCUGGGUCCUAGGCUAAGAAGACCUUGCCUAGAGGAAUCUGGUAAAGAGGAAAACUGGGCGGAGGCAGAACUUUAGCUGCUGUUUUGUAUAAUUUUUCAGAAGUAGGUGGGCUUCUGGGUUUGAAGGUGUCUGCUGAGGGAUGACCUGAUUUGAGGCCAAGGCUGUGUGAAACAUUUAGAAGUGGUGGGAGGGUAGAGUGGGAGGAGGGAUGUGUGUCUACGCACAUCUCCGAGCUUCCGUUUUGAGUUUUUCUCGAAUGGGCUGGAUACUUGGAUUAGGUUGUAAGGAUUUGUUUAUCCAUGUACUUGUCACCUAGCUACUAACAUCAGCUCUCACACCGUCAUUUUUUAAGGUAGUGUGAGGAGUAGUUUGAUGCCACAAUGUCUUUGCUUGAGAAGGGGCUUCAGGUUGGAGAAGUGUGGAGUGAUUAUUUAUCUCAUGGUCAGAGGGGAAAGCAGGGAGCCCCGAUCAUGCUUCAGAAGUCCCCUGGCUUCUUUGCUCCUGGUUUCUUUGCUCCCCUGACCCCAGGAUGUUGCACAGAUGUCACCUGGGUGUGCCCCUCCCCCUGCUCAAAUUGCCUUUUCUUUCUGGUCUUGCAUGAGUAAUCCUCACCUUGUUGAAAUGAGAUGUUUCCCCUGAGUUGAGAGGCUCGUGUAGCAGGUUGGAUUCACACUCCUGCAAGUUUGAGGCAGAGUGCCUGCUCCCCUAUGCAUUUCGACAAGCAGGAUCCUGACCAAGGGGUCAAGUUCCCCAUAGGUGCUCCAUGUAAGGCACAGAGAAACAAAGCCUGUGCUCUGCUCUUAUCUCUCCUGGAGCUCUGGGCACAUGGUGGGCUCCCAGCCCUCCCUGUAGGCUUGGGAGAGUUAAUGAUUUCAUAGGGCUUUCUAAAUUGCACAGUUAUUUACAGAAUCAUCUGACUUAAUUCUCACCAUAAGCAUGGGGGUAGGUACAAUGGCAUCAUUUUCUAGAGGAGUUGCUUAGGCACUAGAGAAGUUAAGGGAUGUAUCUCAAGUGCCAGCCCUGAUCAGUGACAGGACACAGGAAUUCAGAGGUUGUCAUGGCCCUGCCCAUGUUCUUUACGCAUACCCAUCAGGGCACUUGGUGAUGACUUUGACUGAUGGCUUUCUCUGGCCACCUUAGUGUGUUUUGCUUAUCGUUGUGGUAGACCAAAAGUCAGAGGAAUGCAUACUUCCUGGGGCAGCCCAGAGCCUAUGACAAUUGGGAGCUGGUGUAUACCCCCACAUCCCUCACCCCCUUGGAGGAGGAGAUAACACUGAAGUACCUGAUCUAUGCAUUUUCUUCAGAGUUUCCCUAGUGGGAUUAAAAAGCCCGUUACCACAGUGAUAACUGGCUUGCCGACUGGCAACCUUCCCUUCCAAGUAUCACUUCCCCACUCCCCUGCUGGCUCUUCUCCACCUCACAGAUUAGUCACUGGUGCCCAAAUCCUUGUCUCAGAGUCUGCUUCUAGGAGAACCUAAACUAGGACCCAGAUUUUUGGACACCAAGUCCUGGCUUUUCCCAUCUGGACAGCAGUGUUUCUCUCUCUUCCUUCUGGGUGGAAGGGCUCACCAGGCUCCUGAGAGAGAAUCAAGCUGUGUUCUGAGGCUAAGAACAGCCUGUCAUUGCCGUGGUGCAUAGCUUGUAGUUGGUGGCUUUUCUUUCUUUUAUUCUGAGGGGAAAGAAAAUGGACUGGCACUCCUGGUACGUCCCCCUGCCCACCCCCAGAUCAGCACUGUUUAUCCACAGAGGGAAGUUGUCUGAAAUGGAGAUGGAGAAGGCAGGGUCCCAGGAGAAAACCCCACUGUCUGAGCUUCUGGCCGUAGAAGACAGUGGGCCCAGCAAGGUUACAGAGUUCACCAAGUUAGUGCAUUUGUUCUGCACAUUGCUUACGUUAUUUGAUGGGAGGAAGCACCACAUCAGACUCCACAGCAGAUGCUGUAAAUCAUGGGAAGUGUGCUGCGGCCAGCUCUGUGGGGUGGCAUGGAAAUGAAGCCAUCUGUCAGACCAGGAGGCCAGGCUGCCGGCCCUCGCUCCCCUGGGUUUGGCCUUGGUGAAGAGAGGGGGCGCUACUGAGGCAUCAGUGGGGGUGGGAUUCUGCAGCAACUUUGAACACCCUUGAGAAUCAGAGAAGCUGAGGAAAGCAUGUCAACGUUUCCUGAGAAAUUUUGUCUGCGUUUGGCAAAGGUGAACUAGAAUUUGCCACGUGAGUGGGGAGGGGCUUUUUAAAUAAAGCAAGAUCUCCAAAAUUCCUUUCUAGAAGCCCUUUCUAGAAGCUUCUCUUGAAUAUCUUAAAAGAGAUUGAAACAGAGAAAUGCUGAGGACAGCCUGGCUUCCCUGUUUAAAACUGAUUAUUAAAGUUGGCUUGUUCUAACCCAAUAUGAGAAGUGUGUGUACGUGUGUGUGCGCAUGUGUGUGUAAGGGCAGGCAUUUGGGAGAAAAUCUAUGAAGGUGAGGGAAAGUGUGUAGAAGGACAUGUCUUGAAAUACACUGAGUACCCUGAUUUGUAGUUCCUAUAAUAUUAUUUUAUGUGUAAUUUUACUUACUAUUGAUGAAACUGCCAGUGUGGGAAUGUUUUAGGUGCUAGGUGCCAUUUUCAGCAAGAAACCAAAAAGUGGAAGAAAGAGUGGAAGACUCUCUAUCUGUGUUCAAGGUUGCUACUUGCUGGCUGUUCUGGUCAGUAACAGUAUAGAAUGGAUAGGUGGAAGGGUAAAUUGAAGCAGUCCUAUGAAAUGAGGCAUGGGAUUCAUCUCUGGAUUGCUUGCUCCCCGUUUUGUGUGUCCUUAACAUGGAUAAUUGUGGGCAGGCUGUCAUUCUAGCCUUCCUGGGAGGCUGUUCCCAAUUUAUUCUUUCACUCUCUGCCAUGAGCAAGCCAAGGGAAAAGAUUAUUCCCAGAACCAGAGUGUUCCAGGUUUUCUGAAAGGUCAUUGCCACUUUAAAAAUUUUUUUUUUCUUUUUUUUUUGGUAACUCCCAGCAUGGCAGAAAUGCUUGGAUGUCGGUCCUGUGCCUUUAACCGCUGCUACAAGCUGACUCUAUUUAUUUGAAAUAAAACUUUCCUCCUGGUCCAGUAGCAUUCAAGGCUGAAUUGGCCAUGAGACAGAGGACCCUGUGUUCCUAAUUAUUUCUGGAUGAAAAGUCCUGCAGGCAAGUGGAGAUUCAGGGCAAGGAUGGCCAGGUGGAGCAGUCACCAGUGUGCAGUGGAUUGUAGAAACGGAGAGAUAAUUAAAUUAAGAGUGCCAGGUGCAGGCAUUGAAAAAUAACCGUGGGUGUUAAUUAUGCAGUCCAGCUUUACAGUCCAGUGUUAGCAGAGGAAAUGCCAUGGGCCAGUCCGUCACAUGGCAGCUUGAAAGGCUUGGGAGAGACACAUUCAUGAUUUCUAGAGAAUUUGCCAGGGCUGCCUACUUGGGAUUCUGGUGAAGCAAGAUUAUUUAUUAGUUGGGGUGUGUGUAUCUUUUCUAUUUUACACUGAGCCAAGGUGGGAAUUUGGUGUGUGGGGUGGCGUGGGGGGUUAAGUUUGAUCCACAUGGAAAUUUGAGCGUGGUGAGGAUCAUGGUGGAGUAUGGAGUUUCUGGUCUUGGCACUUCCAGAAGUAUUUAUUCUCUGAUUCAAAAUGACUUUGGGUUUAGGGGUCUGGGGCAGUGUGUCCCUGUUGUGGCAUAUUCUUACAGUGGUUUACAAUACAGCAGUCAGGAGGGGUGGAUGCUGAUAGCAUGGAACAGUAGUGUAGCUGGGUUUCUAGUAUACUGAGUGGAGAGAAGCCAUACCUCAGAGUCCUUUCUGCCUGAUUCCAUGUUGGUGAAGUUCUAGAUCAGGUUAAACUGAGCUGUGGUGAUGCAUAGCAGGUCUGUGGUUCAGCAAGGGAACUUUAUAAGGUGAUCGGGGAAUUUUCUGUUUCUUUCUUGGGCCAAGGGUUAGAUGAUGUGAGCAUUUUUCCAAAUACAUUGGAAGUACACUUAAAAUGGGUGCGUUUCAUUGCAUGUAAAUUGUUCCCCAUUGAAAGAAAUAUAAGAAGGCUUCCAGCGCUAUGCCCUUCCGUGGAUUUUGAGCCCUACUCGGUUUGUCCCUAAUCUCAUGUUCACAGUCUACCCUGACCACCCAGCCUUUCUUUGUCCAUAGAGUUGUUCACAAAAGCCCCUCAUUAUAAGGAAGCCUAGUCUAAUGCAGGGACAGUGUGCCGUGGCCCUCGGGCCAAAUCCGCUCACCCGCAGUUUUGUAAAUACAAUCCUAUUGGAACCCAGCCAUGCCUGUUCAUUUAUGUGUCCUUUGUGGCUGCUUUCAUGGCACAGUGACAGAGCUGAGUGGCUGCAGCAGAGACCACUGGUCCACAGGCCUGAAAUACUUACUGUCUGUCCCUUUACAGAAAAGGUCUGUGACAACUUGGUCUAAAGGACCGUUUCUUUUGGAGCUUCUCACUACAGCUCUGUGUGGGCAGAGGUUUUGGGCAGAGAAUGCUGUCCUGGGAGGGGUCAGGUAUAGCUAUUGAGUUGUGGUUGCUGUUGGGAUAAGUCGUUUUUCAUCCCUUGGACUUUGCCAGGUGUGCAUGGUGCCAUGGAUGUACAGUGGAGUACAUCUUGGCCUAUAUAGAGUUUUAAAAAAAGUUUUCUGGGUCGCUGCUUUUAGGGAGGGAGAAAUAAGUAAGGCCUGGAAACUCUCCGUGGCCAAAGCAAAACUCUUGUUUUAAACCCCUAAGCCUGUGGCUGUAAAUGAUCCCUGCAUGGAAAAUGAAAGUCAGCUAAUUGAUAUUGAUAAAAGUAGGGAGGUGUGGUCUGGUGAGACCUAAUCAGUGUGAUUGGUAGCGUUGAUUAAGUAAAUGAAGGAACUAAUUGAACAUGUGAACUAAUGUCAGAAUUUGGGUUUGUAUUUGGGGCUAAAUGAGUUAUUUUGUGGAAGAUACACUUUAUACUGUUGAUUUGUUGAAGAUAGUCUUUUAGACCAUUGUUUAAAAAGGUUUACACCCCUUCUCUACUUUCUCCCCAAGAUUAAUGCUUGUGACCAGGCAGACCGUCUCUCGAGGGUCUGGUAAUGUGGCGCACGGGUUUUGAAGCUUCAGCUUUUUUCAUUUUGCAAUGGUUAUUUCCCUCAUCUGUCCGAUUUUCUUACUCUGUGGUUACCAGAAUUAAAGAGCUAGGUCUUGGGGAUGAGGGAUCAAUAACUUUUUUAAUGAAAAGAAGUAGAUUUCUGUUCUUAAAAAUGUGUAUGUGUGUGUGUGUGUGUGUAUGAUAAUGAUGCAUGACACAUACAUAUGUGAAUGAUACCUAUCUGUGAUGAACAUGUAAAUGAUAAAUACAAUAAUGAUCUGUCUGUGUAAUUGGGGACUUAAAAAAUCAGGGCAAUUACAAUAGGCUGUUCCUUCAUGGCCCCAGAUUACGAGGGCUGCGCGCAGGUGGGGCGGAAUUACCGGAACUGGAAAAUCGCUGGCUCACUGAGAGGAUUUCAGAAACAAGCAGAUGAAUCGUGAGUCCUGGAGAUGUGUUCCACAGAACAGAGAAUUCCUGACUGGAUCGUGUGGCCUGUGCUGCGGGAUUCGUUCUGUAGUCAGCCUCAUAGACAUAGGACCUCCUGAAUGUCAGGCACUUUAGGGUGCUGUGUUUUAUGCUGGUAGAAGUGAGGAGGCAUGGGUGUGAGCUCACCUGCACACACCUACCUCAGCAGAAUUAAGCUGGCCACUACUUCCGCAGUGUGGCAGUGUCAAAAAUAGUUAAAUGUAUAUAAACGCCUCCUCUCCUCCCUUCAGGCUGCUGUGCCCGCCGAUGACAAUAGCAGCACCAGCAAAACAACAACAACAACAACAACAACACACACACACACACACACACAUACACUCUGUAAUCUGAUGUGUUUUUUUCCUUUCAGCUUCAGAUACAGAUUUGGGAUGGAGGCAGAAUAUCAUAUUUUAUACUUUUUAUAAAGUAUUUACUUUGUAAGUAUUCUUAUAGGAGUGUUAACAAUAACCCUGUGAUAUAAACAUUGACUAGGUAGUAUGUAUAUACAUUCAUUCAUUGAUCCAUCCAUUCAUUAAUUCAUUUUCACAUAUCACAUUGCCUUCUGCCAGCAGCCUUGCUUAGUACCGGGGAGUAAAUAGUGAGGAAAAAAAAAAUAGCCCAGUUCUUGUCCACAGAGAACUCAGAGCUCUCUAGCUUCAGUAUCAGGAGAUCACACAGUAGGUCUGGGGGUUAGAAGAUAUUUCACAGAGAAGAAAGUGGCACUGGGGCUAGAAUCUAGAGGAAGAAUUUUGACCAGGUGAGGGUUGAGGGAUGUUGUGCAGAGGUCCUGUGGUCCAAAGGAACAGGGCACAUAAGAGGAACUCUGACAAGGCUUCAGGGUGGAAGAAACAGCAUGGCUGAGGACACUGGGAAUGACCUUGCAGUGCAGGUCCUUGUGUAUUAUAUUAAGGAGGCAAACUGGAAUCCAAGAACAGUGAGAAGCUGCUGUAGUACUUUAAUCAAGGUGGAUUUACAUUUGGAAAAUGUACAUUUGGAUUUGCAUUUUGGAAAGCUCCCUCUGGCUGCAGUGCUUGUAUGGACCAGAGGGGAAGACUCAGCCUGGAAUGAUGACUUUCUGUGGGCUUGUUUUUCUUCUUUUACUUUCCCUCUGGGAUGUGGGCGCCUGGGCUGAUUUAGUCUCUGACAGUCUCCGAGCAGAAGGACUGGUCACAGGGUAUUUAAUAAAAGUGAGGUGGGAUGGAAUAUUCCAGAAAUGUAUUCCUUGGGCUGUGGAAUGAUUAGGAAUACCAUAUGCCAGCAGCAGUGGGCUAAAUGGGGGGAUUAUGGUGCUAACAGGUAAACUGAUGAAAUGAUUCCAUCCACCAAACCUUGGCCAUGAAGAGUAAGUUCCUGUUUUAAGCCAGUUUUUCCUUUGACAUCCAGAAUGAAGUGUGAGAGGUUUUCCUUGGCAGCAACUCUUAAACCAUAGAGCAUUGGGGAAUGAUUUCUGACUCUUUGAAAUAAUGAGCCAGGCGAAGAUUAAAAUAGGUAAGGUACCUGGGUGACCCAGACCCUAGGUUGAGGGGAGGAAAAGUGUAAAAGUGCUUAACUCAGUGUCCUACAUAGAUGUUAGCUAUUAUGAUAUGGCUAUUAUUAAUAUCAGUGUCACUAUUACCGACAGGAAUGUCCUGCAUUACUGUCUCACCUUUUAAUAUCCAUCCAUCCAUCCAUCCAUCCAUCCAUCCAUGCAGUUAUCCAUCCAGUUCAUCCUUUUAACAAAUGUCUAUUGAGAACCAACUAUACCAGGCAUUGUUAUAGGUGUUGGGGACAUAGCAGUGAGCAAAACUAUAUUCCAGUCUCCAUGAAGCUUACAUUCUGGUUCAGGGAGGUGAAUAAAUAAAAGCCAAAUAAAUAAAUGCAUUUCCUGGCUGAUGAGAGUAAGAGCUGAGGAGAAAAAUAAGGUAGGAAGAGAGGCUGGAGAGUGAUGGCUAAGUCCAGGAAGGCCUCUCUGAGCCAAGAACAGAGUGGAGGACGUAGAUUGCCAAUGACUAAGGAAACUGAAGGGCAGGUGCAAUAGCCCUGUGGCAGGAAGUGCUUUCGGGAUUUGAGAAGGAGGGAGGAGAUUAGUGCAGCUUGGGGAGUGCUCUCCACUGUGUGCUCCAAGCUUCUGUUCUUAUGUAAUCAGUAAUGCCUAAUAACAGGAGUGGGCUCCUCUUUUCGGUGGAGGAAGUAAGCAACUCUGAUAAAAGGGAUUGGUGCUUACUUUCAGUUUUCUUUUUUUGUCCCUUGGGGCUCUGAUUCCACCCCCUUCUUGCCAUUUCUGCACAGGUUAGACUCACAGCCAUUCAUAUACUAGGCAGAGGUUCCCAGAAGAAAUGUUUUGAGAGGUCUAGCAAGUUGAAGUAUUAUUUCAUCUCCUUUCUGACAAUUUUCAAGAUUGACAACAAUCCCCAUUUGUCUGGCGACAUGGUCACUGGUGGGGCAGGUGUCCUGUUAAACGUGGAACACAGAAAUAAGCAGUGAGAGUUGACAUGCUGAAGUAGAAAUUGAAGGAAGUACAUCUUUGGAUGAAAUGGAGUCACUCAACUGACAUUCGAAAUGUCUGCCGUGCAUUCAGUAGAUGAUGUUCUCUGCCACAGGUAGCCCUUCCAACAUGUAUGCAGACGUCUGCCAUGUGCCUGUUCCCUGCUGGGGCUGGGAAGCACUCUUCAGCGUGUCAGCAUCUUGGUAAACAUGUCAACAAUCUCUGUGAUUCACCACACGUGAAUAAGUGCUAUGGAUUUGGCUGAUCGAUUGGUAUGCGAAUGUAGGAGAAAAUGCCACUUCUUAUCUGUGGGCGGACAUGCAAAAUACAGAAGUUCUCCCCAGUAUGAUGAUUACACAAUGAACGAUGUGAGUCUGUGAAAAGUUCCAGAAACUCGAUUACUGUUGAUGGUGAUAAUAUGAUUAAUUAAAGCCACUCAGGAAUUAGUCUAAUUUACUGCAGUGGGAGGAAGGGGGGGAUAUAGGUUUAAAAGGAAAAUAAAGUGAGGUUUAUUUUUUUACAUCUAAGAGUCAGAAUGAUUAAAAUUAAGCAGCUUCCUCAUCCAUUUUGGUGGGAACCAGGAGAGGCUUUUGUCUUUGCUGCUGGGGCCUGGCGGUGGGCUGACAUGUUAUGUGAAUGUAUGUGUCCCUCCUGGUUCAGGAGCUGUCUGAGGCAUAGAUGUGACCAGAGACUCUCUACAUGGCACCCCUUUCUCUAGCCUUGGGCAAAACGCAAACCUCCAUAGUGCACCCAGAUGAAAUAGCCAGACUCCCCAGAUGUGAAGAGGAAGAAGAGGGUUUAAUUCCAGAUUCCCUCCAAGGCUUGUUCUGUCUGCUCCCAUCUAGAAAUUCAUUUGCGAACAAACAGCAUUAUUGGGGCCCAAAGAGAAUCAAUUAGAAGUCUGUUGGCUGCAGCCAGUCUAGGUGAUGGGACCGCCGUUUGUUCGAAUGCUCUAAUACGUUCACUCAAGUGUCUGCCCCACGUCUCUAUGGCAAAGCCUGCAAAAUUGCAAGCAUUCAACUCUCACAAUUACCACUGACUCAGCUGCCAAAACAUAUUUUCCGUCCAUUUCUGACAGAGGCUUCUGUUUAAAUAGGAGAAGAGAGAUGAUCUCUUUUCAAAGUGAUUCCAGCCUGAUUCUCGGAGUGCAAGUGGUAAAGUCACCAAGUCCGAUUGGAAUGAAUUGAUUUAUCUUUUUUGGCAGCCCUGAUCAACACCCUCCCAAGAGGCUGGACUAUAAAUGGGAGGUAAUCAUGAUGAUAUACAUAUUUCUCUGGAUGCUGCUUGGCUAAUCCAGUCCAUUUGCCAUAGAUAUUAUCACUUCAGACAGCUGCUAUUCCAUUGCUGGUUUUGAAUUUUUUGUUUAACCCUGUACUUCAAGAAGAGAAAUCUGGUGGUUUUAUAACAUUCAGUUGAAUUGCCAGAAAAGCUAGAGGAGCAACUCAUUCUCCUUUAACAUUUUUGGGUAGAAGUUUUAUUCUUCCACCUGGACAAAAGUUGAUCUGUGAAAUGACAUUAAGCACAUGCUAAAUGUGCAUGUAAUAAUCGGUUCCCAUGGAUGUUGUGAUGUUUUGUGUUUAUACUGUAGACCUACUGAGUCUUGGGUUGUCAUUUUGGCUGUUUCUCUUGAUUCACUGGGUUAGGGGCUUCACUGGGGUGAAACUGGUAUUUGUAUGACCUCUUCAUUGUCCCUGCUGACUGCCAAUUAGAAGCCUUGAGAACUGUUUGCACUUUGACCUGUUUUACCUGCCACCUGCUUGCACCCCAGAGCUGAAAGCUUUCUUUAGGUUGUUUAUGACCUUUGCACCUAUGCUUGUGACCUGAGCCCUUUCAGUUUUUUAGUUCCUUGUCUUUGCUUUCCUUCUCUAGGACCACAUGUAAAGCCUCCACAGGGUCUGGGACAGUAUCCUAAUCCAACUGUGUUCUGCCCCUGCUGCCAGCAGCAUGGUUGAUACACAGUCAUUAAAUCGAAUGUUUAUCCUUCCCCAGAUAGCCAGUGGCUCAGUUCACCUAAUCAGGGGCUUUCCUGACUACCUUAUCCAAGAUUGUUGUUCCCAUCAUUACAGGCACCUUCUAGUUCUGGUUUGUAUUGCUUCAUGGGAUGUAUCAUUAUCUCAAAUAUCAGAUAUUUAAAUGUUAGUUUUCCCUGCCCCCUACUACAAGUUCUAUGAGAAAUAGGAAUUUGUUAUGUUGCUUGCUGAAUUUCCAACUUAGGACAGUGUCUGAAACAUAACAGGUACCCACUACAUUUUUAUUCAGUGGAAAAAAAAGAGCUUAAUUAAAGGAGAAGAAUAUAAAAAUCACCCAUAGCCACAGCUAACAUCAUACUCAGUGGCAAAAGAUUGGAAGUUCUUCCUCUAAAAUGAGGAACAAGACAAGGGUGCCUUCUUUUGCCAUGUGUAUUCAACAGAAAACUGGAAGUCCUAGCCAGAGCAAUUAGGCAAGAAAAAGAAAGAAAA